RNAcentral lists this ribosomal RNA (450 nucleotides) under uncultured bacterium. Its description in RNAcentral is "bacterial SSU rRNA". It matches the Rfam family "Bacterial small subunit ribosomal RNA", at positions 354 to 796 of the family's 1533-position model. The record is from RNAcentral.
GUAGGGAAUCUUCCGCAAUGGACGCAAGUCUGACGGAGCAACGCCGCGUGUGUGAAGAAGGUUUUCGGAUCGUAAAGCACUGUUAUUAGAGAAGAACAGCCGAUAGAGUAACUGUUAUCGGUUUGACGGUAUCUAACCAGAAAGUGACGGCUAACUACGUGCCAGCAGCCGCGGUAAUACGUAGGUCACAAGCGUUGUCCGGAUUUAUUGGGCGUAAAGGGAGCGCAGGCGGUUUGUUAAGUCUGAUGUGAAAGCCCACGGCUCAACCGUGGAACGGCAUUGGAAACUGGCAAACUUGAGUAUAGAAGAGGAAAGUGGAAUUCCAUGUGUAGCGGUGAAAUGCGUAGAUAUAUGGAGGAACACCAGUGGCGAAGGCGACUUUCUGGUCUAUAACUGACGCUGAGGCUCGAAAGCGUGGGGAGCGAACAGGAUUAGAAACCCUAGUAGUCC